GAUGAACGCUGGCGGCGUGCCUAAUACGUGCAAGUCGAGCGAACGGACGAGAAGCUUGCUUCUCUGAUGUUAGCGGCGGACGGGUGAGUAACACGUGGACAACCUACCUAUAAGACUGGGAUAACUUCGGGAAACCGGAGCUAAUACCGGAUAAUAUUUUGAACCGCAUGGUUCAAAAGUGAAAGACGGUCUUGCUGUCACUUAUAGAUGGAUCCGCGCUGCAUUAGCUAGUUGGUAAGGUAACGGCUUACCAAGGCAACGAUGCAUAGCCGACCUGAGAGGGUGAUCGGCCACACUGGAACUGAGACACGGUCCAGACUCCUACGGGAGGCAGCAGUAGGGAAUCUUCCGCAAUGGGCGAAAGCCUGACGGAGCAACGCCGCGUGAGUGAUGAAGGUCUUCGGAUCGCAAAACUCUGUUAUUAGGGAAGAACAUAUGUGUAAGUAACUGUGCACAUCUUGACGGUACCUAAUCAGAAAGCCACGGCUAACUACGUG
This 497-nucleotide ribosomal RNA is filed under the name uncultured bacterium. RNAcentral describes it as "partial 16S ribosomal RNA". It matches the Rfam family "Bacterial small subunit ribosomal RNA", at positions 28 to 507 of the family's 1533-position model. The record is from RNAcentral.